UAAUGUUAGUACCAGACCCUCUUGGUUAGAGACAUCUAUAAUGUUAGUACCAGACCCUCUUUCUUAGAGACAUCUAUAAUGUUAGUACCAGACCCUCUUGAUUAGAUACAUCCAUAAUGUUAGUACCAGACCCUCUUGGUUAGAUACAUCCAUAAUGUUAGUACCAGACCCUCUUGAUUAGAUACAUUCAUAAUGUUAGUACCAGACCCUCUUUCUUAGAGACAUCUAUAAUGUUAGUACCAGACCCUCUUGAUUAGAUACAUCCAUAAUGUUAGUACCAGACCCUCUUGAUUAGAUACAUUCAUAAUGUUAGUACCAGACCCUCUUUCUUAGAGACAUCUAUAAUGUUAGUACCAGACCCUCUUGAUUAGAUACAUCCAUAAUGUUAGUACCAGACCCUCUUGGUUAGAUACAUCCAUAAUGUUAGUACCAGACCCUCUUGAUUAGAUACAUUCAUAAUGUUAGUACCAGACCCUCUUGAUUAGAUACAUCCAUAAUGUUAGUACCAAACCCUCUUGAUUAGAUACAUCCAUAAUGUUAGUACCAAACCCUCUUGAUUAGAUACAUCCAUAAUGUUAGUACCAAACCCUCUUGAUUAGAUACAUCCAUAAUGUUAGUACCAGACCCUCUUGAUUAGAUACAUCCAUAAUGUUAGUACCAGACCCUCUUGAUUAGAUACAUCCAUAAUGUUAGUACCAAACCCUCUUGGUUAGAUACAUUCAUAAUGUUAGUACCAGACCCUCUUGAUUAGAUACAUUCAUAAUGUUAGUACCAGACCCUCUUGAUUAGAUACAUCCAUAAUGUUAGUACCAGACCCUCUUGGUUAGAGACAUCCAUAAUGUUAGUACCAGACCCUCUUGGUUAGAUACAUCCAUAAUGUUAGUACCAGACCCUCUUGAUUAGAUACAUCCAUAAUGUUAGUACCAGACCCUCUUGAUUAGAUACAUCCAUAAUGUUAGUACCAGACCCUCUUGGUUAGAGACAUCCAUAAUGUUAGUACCAGACCCUCUUGAUUAGAUACAUCCAUAAUGUUAGUACCAGACCCUCUUGGUUAGAGACAUCCAUAAUGUUAGUACCAGACCCUCUUGAUUAGAUACAUUCAUAAUGUUAGUACCAGACCCUCUUGGUUAGAGACAUCCAUAAUGUUAGUACCAGACCCUCUUGGUUAGAUACAUCCAUAAUGUUAGUACCAGACCCUCUUGAUUAGAUACAUCCAUAAUGUUAGUACCAGACCCUCUUGGUUAGAUACAUCCAUAAUGUUAGUACCAGACCCUCUUGAUUAGAUAUAUCCAUAAUGUUAGUACCAGAACCUCUUGGUUAGAGACAUCCAUAAUGUUAGUACCAGACCCUCUUUCUUAGAGACAUCUAUAAUGUUAGUACCAGACCCUCUUGAUUAGAUACAUCCAUAAUGUUAGUACCAGACCCUCUUGGUUAGAUACAUCCAUAAUGUUAGUACCAGACCCUCUUGAUUAGAUACAUUCAUAAUGUUAGUACCAGACCCUCUUGAUUAGAUACAUCCAUAAUGUUAGUACCAAACCCUCUUGAUUAGAUACAUCCAUAAUGUUAGUACCAAACCCUCUUGAUUAGAUAUAUCCAUAAUGUUAGUACCAGAACCUCUUGGUUAGAGACAUCCAUAAUGUUAGUACCAGACCCUCUUUCUUAGAGACAUCUAUAAUGUUAGUACCAGACCCUCUUGAUUAGAUACAUCCAUAAUGUUAGUACCAGACCCUCUUGGUUAGAUACAUCCAUAAUGUUAGUACCAGACCCUCUUGAUUAGAUACAUUCAUAAUGUUAGUACCAGACCCUCUUGAUUAGAUACAUCCAUAAUGUUAGUACCAAACCCUCUUGAUUAGAUACAUCCAUAAUGUUAGUACCAAACCCUCUUGAUUAGAUACAUCCAUAAUGUUAGUACCAAACCCUCUUGAUUAGAUACAUCCAUAAUGUUAGUACCAGACCCUCUUGAUUAGAUACAUCCAUAAUGUUAGUACCAGACCCUCUUGAUUAGAUACAUCCAUAAUGUUAGUACCAAACCCUCUUGGUUAGAUACAUUCAUAAUGUUAGUACCAGACCCUCUUGAUUAGAUACAUUCAUAAUGUUAGUACCAGACCCUCUUGAUUAGAUACAUCCAUAAUGUUAGUACCAGACCCUCUUGGUUAGAGACAUCCAUAAUGUUAGUACCAGACCCUCUUGGUUAGAUACAUCCAUAAUGUUAGUACCAGACCCUCUUGAUUAGAUACAUCCAUAAUGUUAGUACCAGACCCUCUUGAUUAGAUACAUCCAUAAUGUUAGUACCAGACCCUCUUGGUUAGAGACAUCCAUAAUGUUAGUACCAGACCCUCUUGAUUAGAUACAUCCAUAAUGUUAGUACCAGACCCUCUUGGUUAGAGACAUCCAUAAUGUUAGUACCAGACCCUCUUGAUUAGAUACAUUCAUAAUGUUAGUACCAGACCCUCUUGAUUAGAUACAUCCAUAAUGUUAGUACCAAACCCUCUUGGUUAGAUACAUUCAUAAUGUUAGUACCAGACCCUCUUGAUUAGAUACAUUCAUAAUGUUAGUACCAGACCCUCUUGAUUAGAUACAUCCAUAAUGUUAGUACCAGACCCUCUUGGUUAGAGACAUCCAUAAUGUUAGUACCAGACCCUCUUGGUUAGAUACAUCCAUAAUGUUAGUACCAGACCCUCUUGAUUAGAUACAUCCAUAAUGUUAGUACCAGACCCUCUUGAUUAGAUACAUCCAUAAUGUUAGUACCAGACCCUCUUGGUUAGAGACAUCCAUAAUGUUAGUACCAGACCCUCUUGAUUAGAUACAUCCAUAAUGUUAGUACCAGACCCUCUUGGUUAGAGACAUCCAUAAUGUUAGUACCAGACCCUCUUGAUUAGAUACAUUCAUAAUGUUAGUACCAGACCCUCUUGGUUAGAGACAUCCAUAAUGUUAGUACCAGACCCUCUUGGUUAGAUACAUCCAUAAUGUUAGUACCAGACCCUCUUGAUUAGAUACAUCCAUAAUGUUAGUACCAGACCCUCUUGGUUAGAUACAUCCAUAAUGUUAGUACCAGACCCUCUUGAUUAGAUAUAUCCAUAAUGUUAGUACCAGAACCUCUUGGUUAGAGACAUCCAUAAUGUUAGUACCAGACCCUCUUUCUUAGAGACAUCUAUAAUGUUAGUACCAGACCCUCUUGAUUAGAUACAUCCAUAAUGUUAGUACCAGACCCUCUUGGUUAGAUACAUCCAUAAUGUUAGUACCAGACCCUCUUGAUUAGAUACAUUCAUAAUGUUAGUACCAGACCCUCUUGAUUAGAUACAUCCAUAAUGUUAGUACCAAACCCUCUUGAUUAGAUACAUCCAUAAUGUUAGUACCAAACCCUCUUGAUUAGAUAUAUCCAUAAUGUUAGUACCAGAACCUCUUGGUUAGAGACAUCCAUAAUGUUAGUACCAGACCCUCUUUCUUAGAGACAUCUAUAAUGUUAGUACCAGACCCUCUUGAUUAGAUACAUCCAUAAUGUUAGUACCAGACCCUCUUGGUUAGAUACAUCCAUAAUGUUAGUACCAGACCCUCUUGAUUAGAUACAUUCAUAAUGUUAGUACCAGACCCUCUUGAUUAGAUACAUCCAUAAUGUUAGUACCAAACCCUCUUGAUUAGAUACAUCCAUAAUGUUAGUACCAAACCCUCUUGAUUAGAUACAUCCAUAAUGUUAGUACCAAACCCUCUUGAUUAGAUACAUCCAUAAUGUUAGUACCAGACCCUCUUGAUUAGAUACAUCCAUAAUGUUAGUACCAGACCCUCUUGAUUAGAUACAUCCAUAAUGUUAGUACCAAACCCUCUUGGUUAGAUACAUUCAUAAUGUUAGUACCAGACCCUCUUGAUUAGAUACAUUCAUAAUGUUAGUACCAGACCCUCUUGAUUAGAUACAUCCAUAAUGUUAGUACCAGACCCUCUUGGUUAGAGACAUCCAUAAUGUUAGUACCAGACCCUCUUGGUUAGAUACAUCCAUAAUGUUAGUACCAGACCCUCUUGAUUAGAUACAUCCAUAAUGUUAGUACCAGACCCUCUUGAUUAGAUACAUCCAUAAUGUUAGUACCAGACCCUCUUGGUUAGAGACAUCCAUAAUGUUAGUACCAGACCCUCUUGAUUAGAUACAUCCAUAAUGUUAGUACCAGACCCUCUUGGUUAGAGACAUCCAUAAUGUUAGUACCAGACCCUCUUGAUUAGAUACAUUCAUAAUGUUAGUACCAGACCCUCUUGGUUAGAGACAUCCAUAAUGUUAGUACCAGACCCUCUUGGUUAGAUACAUCCAUAAUGUUAGUACCAGACCCUCUUGAUUAGAUACAUCCAUAAUGUUAGUACCAGACCCUCUUGGUUAGAUACAUCCAUAAUGUUAGUACCAGACCCUCUUGAUUAGAUAUAUCCAUACUGUUAGUACCAGAACCUCUUGGUUAGAGACAUCCAUAAUGUUAGUACCAGAACCUGUUGGUUAGAGACAUCCAUAAUGUUAGUACCAGACCCUGUUGGUUAGAGACAUCCAUAAUGUUAGUACCAGAACCUGUUGGUUAGAGACAUCCAUAAUGUUAGUACCAGACCCUGUUGGUUAGAGACAUCCAUAAUGUUAGUACCAGACCCUCUUGGUUAGAGACAUCCAUAGUGUUAGUACCAGACCCUCUUGGUUAGAGACAUCCAUAGUGUUAGUACUAGACCCUCUUUCCUUUCUUCGAGACAUCCAUACAGGGCUCUACAGUGCGAGUAUUUCACUCGCAUUUGCCCCUAAAAAUUGAUAUGUGUGAACCGGAAAAAUUAUUUACGAGCAGUGUGCGCGAUUAAGUGUGCGCGAUUAAAGAUGACUGACAACCUACUGUAAUCUAUUUUUCCCCCGCUGCUAAUUGUUUAAAAACUACAAGUCCCACAUUCCACAAGUGGCAUGCGCCAACCACAGUAGAGUUUUCUGUGAUGACGCAGUCCAGUCAGAGACAGAAAGGUGAACAACAUUGGAAAAUAGUAUCGGUAUAGGCUAUAAGUUAACGUGCAGACAUCGCUAAGAAUGAAGCCCAUUCAAUUUUAUUUUAAGUGAAAAAGAGACGAGGAGAAAGAGGAAUCCGGCGAGGGGGAUUCGCAAGGUUCAACUAAUGAAGCCUCUUCACAAGGUUUACCUGAGGCGGCUAACGUUGACAUGGCUGCUCACGUUCAGGAUGCUGGGAACAACGUUAGUGACGCUACCUUGAACCCAGCUGUCACUUCUACGUCCACUGUAGCCGGUGGAGGGAGAACAUAUACAUUGGCUCAAAAUGCUCACAUGGCUAGAGUUCGAAAACAACGUCAUGUUCUGCAAAUAUUGUAGGUUGCUGAAACAGGCCUUCGUCCUUCGUGUCAGGAAGCCCGCAUCUGAGUUGACAUUAAUCCCACAUACGACAAUGAUGUGAUGUGCGGAGAUGAUCGGUUAAAUUGCUGACAUAAUGAGAGAGAGCCUGUCAGCGAAGCUGAAAUCCGCAAAGUAUCUUGCUGUUCUAAUAGACGGAGACACUGAUAUAUCCAACACCGAAUGUGAGAUUGUCUACGUACGCUUGUUGGAGGAUGGGAAGCCAGUCAAUCUCCUGGUCGGACAACAAACCCUUGAGCACUCUCAUGCCAUUGGUAAGUUGUUCCUCUUUAUAGGCUUUAUUCUUGUGUAAAGUUUAAUCAUUAUUCAUAAUGAAGAUAAUUUAGUUUGUCAGAAAUACUUUUGUGUAAUUGUUUUUUUGUGUUGUCAUUCAAGGUGUUUUGGAUGCCACCAAGGCCACAUUUGGUGCUGUUUGCCCAGAGGAGGAUGGAGGGUCAUGGAUGAAGAAAUACAUCUCCUUCGGGGCAGAUGGUGCCUCCGUGAACAUGGACCACCAUGGGGGAGAGAUUGCCCACCUGCAGAGAGAGGCAGGGGGGCAUAUCAUCCCAAUCCACUGUAUGCCUCAUAGGUUUGUAACAAAUAAAUUAUCUAUGAUUUAGUUUUAUUUGUUAGCAGAGAAUGUUAAACAAUAAUGUGUGUGUGUGUGUGUCUGUGUGCGUGCGCUAAGUGCUGGAAUACCACAGAAUUAUUGUUUUCUGCUGGCACAAGAGACAGGGGGGAAGGAGACAGUGAAUUGUUUGGAAGAUUCUGUUCUGACUUUCACAGACUAGAGCUGGCACUACUGACCAUUCAGAAGAAAGAGUCAAAGCUGUCUGGUCGUGUACGAUCUUAUGAAUCUGAUAUGGAAGAUGUAUCACUUCAGCGGAAAAUCCAAACGAGAGCUCUUUGUUCUCGGGCAAGAGCUCGGUGUGGAUAUUUGCACACCGUCUAGCGUCAAGGGAACUCGCUGGAUCCCCCAUGUCCACAGAGCGCUCAGUGUUCCUACAGCAUGGACAAGACAAGGACCUUGCCACUGACGAAGGCCAGUACUCCGUUGUUCUGCAGCACAUGGAACACCUGGCCGUAGCAUCAACAACAGAAGUUCAAGGGAGGGUAAAGAAGGUCACUUUUACACAGGAAAUGUAAUACCAUACUAGUUUUUUAAAAAUAGGUUCAAGACUCAAAUGAACUUUCAGAAUCAAGUAAUUGACAGGUGACAGUUUAUUUACUCACUACUUAACUAAUAAAGUGGGAAAUGGUGAAUGCACUCUUUUGUGUAUUCUGCCAUUUUGUUUCAGACAUGUUUGAGCAGCUAUCUUCACUUAGCCUCACCCUGCCAAGGAAUGACCUGAUCCUCCCCCAAGCCACAUCAGAGUUGAGGAAGACAGUGACCAGACUGGAAGCACUAAAUCUUCAGACCAUGCUUGCUCAGCAGCAGGGUGAUGAGAGGAGAUUCCAGGCUUCAUGGACCUCACCAGUCCCCAGCUGAAGCGGCACAUGAAGGCGGCCAUCAACAUGGGCAUGGAUGAUCUCAAAGCCAGGUUUGGUGGUUUGCUGAAGGAUGAGGGUGUCCAGAUCCCAGUGGAGUCUUUCAAAGUGCUAAACCCUGACACCUGGCCAGAAGACCAGGCCAGCCUUCUCACCUUUGGCAAUGAUGGUGUGGCAGACCUGAUGAGGCAUUUCAAGGAGCCUCUAGAGAGAUCGGGGUGCAACAUGGCUGCAAUCCAGGAUGAGUGGCAGGGGCUGAAAAUCCUGGUCAGCCACAAAUUCAAGGACAAGUCCUACAGUGGCCUGUGGGAGACCAUGUUGACAAAGGACCCCUACAGGCACAUAAGUUAAUGCCGCCCAGUGUGAGCGAGGCUUCUCUGCGCAGAACCAGAUUAAGAAUUCGACAAGAAGCUGCCUUGGGGUCUCCACCACCGAAGAUGAGGAUCAGCCUGGAGGGGUCUUCUGUUGAGGAGUUCUAUCCCACUCCUGCCGUGGACCGCUGGCUGACCUCUAAGCGUGCCAGACGGCCAACAUACAAAAUCAGCUGGAUAACUGAUAUCCUUUGUGUCUAGUAGGCAAUAUGUGAUUUUGGUGGUAUGUGCUGUUCCAAAGAUGUGUGUCCCUUAGUACACGCACACACGCAGUAUAAAUAUGUAUGUAAUACAUAGUUUGUUAAUAAACUCUGUUACAUUUUUCA
Long non-coding RNA from Oncorhynchus keta (chum salmon), 7532 nucleotides. RefSeq lists it as uncharacterized. NCBI's taxonomy places the organism in Eukaryota, Metazoa, Chordata, Actinopteri, Salmoniformes, Salmonidae. The transcript is spliced from 4 exons. The record is from RefSeq and is a predicted model, not a curated record.